GACGAACCGUGCGAACGUUGUUCGGAUUCACUGGGCUUAAAGGGCGCGUAGGCGGGCGGUCAAGUCGGGGGUGAAAUCUUUCCGCUUAACGGGAAGCGUGCCUCCGAUACUGAUCGCCUCGAGGGAGGUAGGGGCAUGUGGAACUUCCGGUGGAGCGGUGAAAUGCGUAGAUAUCGGAAGGAACGCCGGUGGCGAAAGCGACGUGCUGGACCUCUUCUGACGCUGAGGCGCGAAAGCUAGGGAAGCAAACGGG
This 253-nucleotide ribosomal RNA is filed under the name uncultured bacterium. RNAcentral describes it as "partial 16S ribosomal RNA". It matches the Rfam family "Bacterial small subunit ribosomal RNA", at positions 524 to 776 of the family's 1533-position model. The record is from RNAcentral.